GUGCCAUUCAGAGGGUGAACGGGCAAGACUAAAGAUUUGAGUGCCUUCGAACAGGGUCUGGUAGUAGGUGCCUUUUGAACAGGGUAGUAGGUGCCUUUUGAACAGGGUCUGGUAGUAGGUGCCUUUUGAACAGGGUAGUAGGUGCCUUUUGAACAGGGUCUGGUAGUAGGUGCCUUUUGAACAGGGUAGUAGGUGCCUUUUGAACAGGGUAGUAGGUGCCUUUUGAACAGGGUAGUAGGUGCCUUUUGAACAGGGUAGUAGGUGCCUUUUGAACAGGGUAGUAGGUGCCUUUUGAACAGGGUAGUAGGUGCCUUUUGAACAGGGUAGUAGGUGCCUUUUGAACAGGGUAUGGUAGUAGGUGCCGUUGAACAGGGUAUGGUAGUAGGUGCCGUUGAACAGGGUAUGGUAGUAGGUGCCGUUGAACAGGGUAUGGUAGUAGGUGCCUUUGAACAGGGUCUGGUAGUAGGUGCCUUUGAACAGGGUAUGGUAGUAGGUGCCGUUGAACAGGGUCUGGUAGUAGGUGCCUUUGAACAGGGUAUGGUAGUAGGUGCCUUUUGAACAGGGUAGUAGGUGCCUUUGAACAGGGUAUGGUAGUAGGUGCCUUUGAACAGGGUAUGGUAGUAGGUGCCGUUGAACAGGGUAUGGUAGUAGGUGCCUUUGAACAGGGUAUGGUAGUAGGUGCCUUUGAACAGGGUAUGGUAGUAGGUGCCUUUGAACAGGGUCUGGUAGUAGGUGCCUUUGAACAGGGUAUGGUAGUAGGUGCCGUUGAACAGGGUCUGGUAGUAGGUGCCUUUGAACAGGGUAUGGUAGUAGGUGCCGUUGAACAGGGUCUGGUAGUAGGUGCCGUUGAACAGGGUCUGGUAGUAGGUGCCUUUGAACAGGGUAUGGUAGUAGGUGCCUUUUGAACAGGGUAUGGUAGUAGGUGCCUUUGAACAGGGUAUGGUAGUAGGUGCCUUUGAACAGGGUCUGGUAGUAGGUGCCUUUGAACAGGGUAUGGUAGUAGGUGCCUUUGAAC
Long non-coding RNA from Oncorhynchus keta (chum salmon), 1015 nucleotides. RefSeq lists it as uncharacterized. The transcript has 6 exons. NCBI's taxonomy places the organism in Eukaryota, Metazoa, Chordata, Actinopteri, Salmoniformes, Salmonidae. The record is from RefSeq and is a predicted model, not a curated record.